This is a long non-coding RNA of Lolium perenne, 962 nucleotides long. RefSeq lists it as uncharacterized. The record is from RefSeq and is a predicted model, not a curated record. Lineage: Eukaryota; Viridiplantae; Streptophyta; Magnoliopsida; Poales; Poaceae.
GCAUAUUAUUCUAAGAAAAUGGAUAAGCCCACAAACCCACGACUCCCAUCUCUAAGUCUCAGGUGACUCAAAAGAAACCUACCCCAAAUCCAGGCGUGCAAGAUCUACAGCCGCCGCCCCCAAUGGAUCAUUCCUCUCCGGCGAGCUGUUCUGCUACCCUCUCCAAGACAAAUCCCCCGCCACCCUUUCUGCCUUCAUCUUCCCCCGUCUGGGUACUCUCCUCCACAGCCCCGAUUUAGUGCUUGGUGUUUCUCGCCUGAGACAAAUCAGAGCCUAAGAAACCGGUAUUAGUCUCAUCCAUCUCCCAUUAGGUGAUCCAGGAUGGAUUUUAUGGUGCUGAUGAAUGAAUGUGCCCCAAUAGUUCGCGUCUUAUUUAAAGCGCAGAAACAUAAUAUUAAUCCAAGGAUAUCUGUCAAGCAAAAGGAGACCCCAAGUUCUACAUAUGAGAAGAGGCUGCCUUGAAAUAAAGAGGAAAGAUGGAGCAUUUUCCUGCACCAGGACAGAUAAAUUAACCCGCCUACUGCGUUUUUUUAUAGUAAAACUUGUAUUUCUGAAUGAUGUUAUCUUAAGCUGGAAUAUUAAUGUGGAAAUGUGAUGUAUUCAAGGCUAACGGCUAUUAGCUCUCUUGCAGGACUGCAGGAAAAAAAUGUAGAACUGUUACGAGUGGUACGUCCAAUAUUUCGCACAUAUAUUCUUUUUGCAUAGUGUACUGAUUCAAAUGCAGAGGAAACGACUGAGGUUUUUGGAUGCAAAUAAAUGACAUUUACAACUGCAGUGGACCUGGAUAAGAUACUUGAUGUCCGCAUGUCGAAACUUCUUAGAUAGUGCCCAAUAUUUAGCGACAGAAAAAUAUGAAAAUGUAUGUGAAUUUGUACAAAUUUUAAGUGUGUAUGCACCUUGUGCAUCCUUGAACCUAUCGCCAACUUCGCCUUCUCUUUAAUUAUUGAAUUACUUGUCACUGA